Molecule: ribosomal RNA, 119 nt
Filed under: Microcebus murinus (gray mouse lemur)
Lineage: Eukaryota; Metazoa; Chordata; Mammalia; Primates; Cheirogaleidae
Source: RNAcentral
GAUCAUAGCCGUACCACCCUGAAUGUGCCUGAUCUUGUCGGAUCUCAGAAGCUAAGCAGGAUUGGGCCUGGUUAGUACUUGGAUGGGAGACUCCCUGGGAAUACCAGGUGCUGUAGGCU